GCAUGUGAGGGAGGCAAUGUAGCUGUGGGAUAUUACCUGGCAAUCUCCAGGGUUGAUUGGGCUGAUCUGGCUAGCUAAGCCAGUGGUCCCUUCCUCCUUACUGCUCUGUGUGCAUGCCUCCCCAAGCUACAGCUCAAACACGACCAUCUUACCCAAAGAGAAGACCAUUCUUUGGUCUUCUAAAGCACACAAGUGGCUUACUCCCCCAUUAGAACCUCCGAACAAGCUCUAAAAAUGAUUGCUUCACAACAUCUGGAACUAGAAAUAAACAUGCAAAAUAUACAUUGUCUCCAACGAAAUCUAAAGGAUGUAUUU
Molecule: small nuclear RNA, 315 nt
Filed under: Jaculus jaculus (lesser Egyptian jerboa)
Lineage: Eukaryota; Metazoa; Chordata; Mammalia; Rodentia; Dipodidae
Description: 7SK RNA (ENSJJAG00000008257.1)
Rfam family: 7SK RNA
About the family: 7SK was discovered as an abundant small nuclear RNA in the mid-70s but a possible function has only recently been suggested. Two independent studies have found that 7SK RNA binds the CDK9/cyclin T complex (known as elongation factor P-TEFb). P-TEFb activates transcription by phosphorylating the C-terminal domain of RNA polymerase II.
Source: Rfam by way of RNAcentral